CAAAUGAACUCAAAUUUUUAACACGCUACUCAACAUGGAUUGUUGGGUGGUAUCAGGUAUCUGGUUUAUUAGGGAAGGAAAACUGGCGGGAUUUAGGUCAGAACCUGCAGCUACUACAACUACUGGAUACCACCCAACAUAAAAAUACAUUGGUUUUGUCAAUUCUCACUUUAGACAAAAAGGUUUUAAAACAGUUCAGAUUUCGCAACGAUAACCUAAUUAUCAAUGACCUCAAUUAGGGUUGUCUCAUAAUCACUAGGAGCCACGAACCCAUGUAGA
This 279-nucleotide long non-coding RNA is filed under the name Panax ginseng (ginseng). Its description in RNAcentral is "long non-coding RNA (PGIN_LNC014970)". Lineage: Eukaryota; Viridiplantae; Streptophyta; Magnoliopsida; Apiales; Araliaceae. The record is from RNAcentral.